GGAGGAAAUUAUUUCCAUUUCAUUAUGCUCCUCCUUCUUCAGUCACUUCUACAGAUAACAUUGCUGUAUUCUGUGAUUUCUUCAGAAUUGCAGUAGAGUUUCACCUAACCCCAUUUCACCUUGUGUUGAAGUCCUGAUAGUGUCACAGGACAUCAGUAGUAUGAGUUGUAAUUUAAACGUGCUCACAUUGUCUGCUCUGGCUCCCUUUAUCAACUCUAUUAUUUAAUACCUACCUAUUACAUUAUUUCUACCCUUCCUUUCAACACACAGGUUGAAAAAACAGAGUAAAUUGGCUUGUCCAUGUUCUGGUAGCAGAAGCAAGUGCAUGAGCUUUGCAUUCUUUUAAAACUUUUAAAUUCUUACCAUACAAGGGAAAUGAAAAUGUGUCAGUGCUGUAAAGAAGACAUGUGGGCAGCCAGGCUGAAGUGGCUCCAUGAGUGUUGCUAGAUUUU
Non-coding RNA from Sturnus vulgaris (Common starling), 452 nucleotides. Lineage: Eukaryota; Metazoa; Chordata; Aves; Passeriformes; Sturnidae. The record is from RefSeq and is a predicted model, not a curated record.